CUUAGAAGAAGGUCGUUGUGAUUUCAAAUUCUCCGUGGGAAAAUCUGGCGGCGUUCAAGAGCAGAGUUCUCUACAUUUGGCCCAACAGCUCAAAUGGAAACUAGAGCACAAGAUCAGAAUGAAGCUCCCACACAUGGCCUUAUGACUGUUGCCCCAGUGAAGAACCUGAGGUCCAGCCUUCCCCACUCAAGACAUGCCUGAGACAAGAGUGACUGUAUUCCAAGUUGAUCCAAGAUUCGACAUCUUUGGAGGCAAGUGGAUUUCUUCUGCUGCUUCUCUGCGCUACUACAGUGGUGGUAGAGUUCAGCAGUUGCAGCCAAGCUAAUUGAUGGGACGAUUCUGAAAGAUCGGAACUGUUGCUUUCAUCUGAAAUCCUGGUAGGACUGAUCAUUGCCAGAACACUGAAGGACACAUUUAAUAGACUGUAUAUUUUCAUUCCCUUCAUUGGACUGAAAAAAAGGGAAUCACUGUUUCAUUGGUUGAAGUUACUUUUAUUGCUCUGUUGAUUGAUAUUGAUAUUGGGGGAAUUGAUACUAUUUCUUUUAAAAGGUAUUUUGAUACAUACACCAAUGGUAAAAGAUCUUUUGAUGUAUAUACAUUGAGGUUAAAAUGUGUUUUGCUAAUACACAAAAAGGGGUUUAGCUCAUGGAAAAAAAAACAGCGUGUGAGUUAAA
Long non-coding RNA from Anguilla anguilla (European eel), 674 nucleotides. RefSeq lists it as uncharacterized. The record is from RefSeq and is a predicted model, not a curated record. The transcript is spliced from 4 exons. Lineage: Eukaryota; Metazoa; Chordata; Actinopteri; Anguilliformes; Anguillidae.